GACGAACGCUGGCGGCGUGCUUAACACAUGCAAGUCGAACGCUGAAGCUCAGCUUGCUGGGUGGAUGAGUGGCGAACGGGUGAGUAACACGUGAGUAACCUGCCCUCUUCUUUGGGAUAACGCCCGGAAACGGGUGCUAUUACUGGAUAUUCACUGAUUCUCGCAUGGGGGUUGGUGGAAAGGUUUUUUCUGGUGGGGGAUGGGCUCGCGGCCUAUCAGCUUGUUGGUGGGGUGAUGGCCUACCAAGGCUUUGACGGGUAGCCGGCCUGAGAGGGUGACCGGUCACAUUGGGACUGAGAUACGGCCCAGACUCCUACGGGAGGCAGCAGUGGGGAAUAUUGCACAAGGGGCGAAAGCCUGAUGCAGCGACGCCGCGUGAGGGAUGGAGGCCUUCGGGUUGUAAACCUCUUUCGCUCAUGGUCAAGCCGCAGCUUUGGGUUGUGGUGAGGGUAGUGGGUAAAGAAGCGCCGGCUAACUACGUG
RNAcentral lists this ribosomal RNA (482 nucleotides) under uncultured bacterium. RNAcentral describes it as "partial 16S ribosomal RNA". It matches the Rfam family "Bacterial small subunit ribosomal RNA", at positions 28 to 507 of the family's 1533-position model. The record is from RNAcentral.